This 454-nucleotide ribosomal RNA is filed under the name uncultured Rikenellaceae bacterium. Its description in RNAcentral is "partial 16S ribosomal RNA". It matches the Rfam family "Bacterial small subunit ribosomal RNA", at positions 341 to 792 of the family's 1533-position model. Lineage: Bacteria; Pseudomonadati; Bacteroidota; Bacteroidia; Bacteroidales; Rikenellaceae. The record is from RNAcentral.
ACGGGAGGCAGCAGUGAGGAAUAUUGGUCAAUGGUCGGAAGACUGAACCAGCCAUGCCGCGUGCAGGAAUAAGGCCCUAUGGGUCGUAAACUGCUUUUGUGGUGGAGCAAUAAGGCGUACGUGUACGUCGAUGAGAGUACAUCACGAAUAAGCAUCGGCUAACUCCGUGCCAGCAGCCGCGGUAAUACGGAGGAUGCAAGCGUUAUCCGGAUUUAUUGGGUUUAAAGGGUGCGUAGGCUGUGCAUCAAGUCAGCGGUGAAAGCCCGGGGCCUAACUCCGGAACUGCCGUUGAUACUGUUGUGCUGGGAUACGGAUGCCGUGGGAGGAAUGAGUAGUGUAGCGGUGAAAUGCAUAGAUAUUACUCAGAACACCGAUUGCGAAGGCAUCUCACGAAUCCGUUAUUGACGCUGAGGCACGAAAGCGUGGGGAUCAAACAGGAUUAGAUACCCUGGUA